UGGGAGUCACUGAACCUCUCCGAGGUAGGAUUCCUCCGGGUGUUCCCACUGCACUGUGCCCAGAACAGGGUUCCUGUUAAAUGUCACAGUGCAGCCCUACAAUUCUGGAAAUGCUGCUCCCCUUCACAAGGCUGUGUGCUGUUCAGAAGGUGAGUCCAGCACGUCUGCCCUCUGACAGAGAUCUGUUGCCUACCACCAUCUGAUUCAGCCUCAACAUAAUGUGCAAUGUAAGGACAUUUGUGCCACAGCUUCGCUCUGUUGACCAGGUACCUUGACUAACAGAACAGGUGCCCUUUAGUGUUGGGCUGCCAGUGAACAGAUGCACAAUGGGGAUGUCAGUAAGAUGCAGAAGCAAGGUGGAGAAUGGAAGAAUAAUCUGCAACACACAAGUAUUUCAGGGUGGUGGCACUUGUGCUCUGAAGUAAGAGGCACGUAAAAUGGAGAAGGCCUGUUUUACAUGGGUGGCUUCAACGGAAAUACUUCUGAGCUACUCCAGUGCUAGUGUCAUGAGUCACCAUCUCAUUAAAUGCUUCAGAAGAGCCUGCAGCGUGAAAUAGUUGUUCAUCAUUGCCACAGGAUAAGCAUAUCCACAUCUUGAACAAUAAGAGAAAGAAGAGGAGAUGUAGUUGAUUCAAGUUCCCUGCCUAGGGGGAAAACGAGAGUCUCAACCUUUCCCGUACUGAAGUGGGCUCAGCAACAAAGCCACUUGGCAGCACUAAAUCUCAGCUCAAACUCAAUGAGCAGUGAUGAACCAACUUAAGCUGCUAUGGAGACAGCAAGUUUUGUUAGUCAGCCACAGCUGCCUCCUUGUUUCCCAGUACAUUAAAGCAUCCUCUUUUGAAACCAUAAUUUCCCCCCCUUAUUGAUGUUUUCCACACCUCUUUCUUUAAACUACUGACACUCACUCUGCCUCCAUAGCACCGACUACAAAAAUCUCUUUAUUAUCAAGAGUGUUUCAACAGAG
RNAcentral lists this long non-coding RNA (964 nucleotides) under Chrysemys picta bellii (western painted turtle). RNAcentral describes it as "lncRNA (ENSCPBG00000025255.1)". The record is from RNAcentral. Lineage: Eukaryota; Metazoa; Chordata; Testudines; Emydidae.